UGAGGAAGGUGCACACGCCGACGUCCGCUCGAUCCAUUCACCGAUCGCCUAGCGAUUUGAUACCACAAGCGGACCAUUCUAUGGGCAACGCUGGUGUUGUGGAUUGUAUGUCCGGUGCGAAGGAGGGCACACGCCGGCCGUUCGGCAGCCAGGCCGGCCAGUAGCGACAGCCGGCCACGAGGCGGGGAGGCGUCUGUCUGCGGACGUCUUGCUGCUGGGAGCUGGCCGAACUGGUCGAUUUCUUUUGAUGGAGUAGCACAUGUGCCUUGCAGCUGUUUGUGUUUAUGCCUAAUGGAGAAAGGGGGCGAGCUGUUUGUCAUGAUCGGCAUCAGUGGCUCGGCUGGAUUGCGACUUGCCAGGGAGAGGCUCCAAAACAGUGUCACUCAACACAGAGACCCUCCAUGGCCGCCGCCGCAACACCUCAGUUCGAGUGAUGCAGGUACCUAAGAGUAGACUGUUGUUCUGACCAGUGUCGACAGAGAUGACUUACCUGAUUGUGGAAGUGGCCAUUUUUCUCAGACAUUUGGAGCUUUGAAGGAACUCAAACGUGGGAUAUUGGUGAGAUGCUUAACCUCCGACUUCCAAGGUGAUCUGGAGGUUGUUUCCUCUUUCGCAGAUUCUGGUCUAGAUGUCUCUGCCCAUAACACUGAGACUGUGAAAAGUUGAUGCAAAAUUGUGAGGGAUCCUCGAGUAGGGUAAUUUGACCCACUGAUUUUUAGUGUCAUCACAUUGCACGUUAGACCAGUGGAUUAUGUAAAUUUGAAGAACCCGUAAAACAUCAAUUCACCUGAUUCACUGAACCUGUCAGAUUACCAGUCAUCAACAGUAACGAAAUAACGAAAAUACAAAGAAUCACUGGUUGCAGUUUUUACUUCUCUAUAAUUUGAUAUUCUCUUUAGAGGUGUACAAGUGCUGUAGUUUUCAAACUUCGUAUAUAUCAACAUAGGUAUUUAACUGUUAAACUUCAAUUUCCCUUAUCCUAUUUACGUGAAUAGUAUACUUAGUUCUAGCUGAAAGGCUGAAACCAACCUAAAGUUAAACAAAUAUUGCGACUUUUAUUUCCACUACCAUGAGACUCCAAUCAAUUCCAUAAGAUGAUUGUACUAUGGUGAUGUAACCAGCUUCAGGCCAUUGGCGUGUUUUAGUCUGGAUGAUAUAUCUCCCGUUUGUACCCUGAAUAAACCAUGAAUCUCAUUUGGGCUUGGAGGAUUCAGUGGGCGAAGAUUGGCUGCGCUUCUCCAUCCUCUCGCCGUUGAACUCCAUCCUCUACUAUGCUCUCUCGCUCGAUCAGUCCUGUUUGGUGGUCUGGUGAUGCACAUGGAGCAAGGAAGACAAAGUUUGAGCCAUCCACGUUUUCCCUCCCUUCGGUUCUUCCUUCUGGACGUCGCACUCACCACCCUUGCUGUUCAUUAGUUUGCAUCAGGUCAAGAGUUGAUUCUUGAUGGCUUAAUUUAUGAAGUGUAUGAUAAUCAUAAAAAGUGCUAAUAUCCAUCUGGGGCAAUAUUGUGGUUUAGGACGGUAUUAUGGAUGCUAUGUGGAAAAAGUUGGGGUCAAUGGUAGACCAAAAGGCCAUAAUUAUUAAAUACAAGACCUUGCAAAAUUAUUGAUGAUCAGAUGAUUUUCAAGGACUUCCGAGUUACCAUACAUUAAUGUAACUACAGAUUAUGCAAGGUAUCCUUAGAUUUGUGCCCCUUUUGAUAAUAUUGUGCAUUUUAAAUUCUUCUGUGUACAUUGAUAAAGUUUAUCGGCUUUUAACUGAUACUAUAUAUAUGCUAAAAGGAUAAAAAAAUCGAUAAUGCCAAGAAAACAAGCUUCUUCCAUUUUUUUGUCCUACAGUAUGACAUGGUAAUCAAAAGGCUAUGCAUGCUACUUUUUUUUCUGAGUGCUAAUUUUCAGAUAUCCUAUUCCAUUCAUGUUUAAGCUUUAAAUUUUAAUCAAUAUGUACAGUUUGCAUAUUCGAAUAAUUACACCAGCAACCUUAUAUUUCCAAUUGUUCUUUUCCAGAGAGUGAAGUUAAAUGUUGAAUGCACAAUGGCUUUGGUAAGAAUAAUGAUUAAAAAAUCAUUUAAAACGAGCUAAGAACUUGAUAAACAGAGAUGUAAAGGGGUUAAAUGCAUGGCUCCUUUUAAUUAAUUUUCUAGGUAGCUUACAGAUUUUCAGAGUUCUAUUUACACUUCUAACAGCCCUUUUCCCUAUAUCAUUACUCUAUCCCGUUUGGCUAUCUCUGUUUUGUCAGAUGUGGAUGCUUGAAGGCGAGAGAUCUGGCUGGGCAAGUGGCCGUUUCCGUUCGUCGGUUAUUUGGUCUCUGAUGAAUGGAGAUUUUAUCGCGCUUCCAUCGGCCGGAACCUUUAGUUCCUUUUCAACCUAUUCAUUUUUCUGGUUUUCAGCAUGGUACUUUUGUACUCUUUUUCGUUGGCAUCAAUGUUGGUUCUCUGACCAGUAGAAACGUGUAUCGCCACAGGUUGGUCUCCACGGGUCCACUAUGUAUAAUCUACUGUACUAAGUAUUCUAGCGCUGCAGCAAUCUCUCUAUUGUCCACCAUGCUGUCUAAACUAAAUUUUUAACAAAGCAGUUUCGAAAACA
Molecule: non-coding RNA, 2583 nt
Organism: Lolium perenne
Lineage: Eukaryota; Viridiplantae; Streptophyta; Magnoliopsida; Poales; Poaceae
Source: RefSeq, a predicted model, not a curated record